This 253-nucleotide ribosomal RNA is filed under the name uncultured bacterium. Its description in RNAcentral is "partial 16S ribosomal RNA". It matches the Rfam family "Bacterial small subunit ribosomal RNA", at positions 524 to 776 of the family's 1533-position model. The record is from RNAcentral.
UACGGAGGGAGCUAGCGUUGUUCGGAAUUACUGGGCGUAAAGCGCGCGUAGGCGGCUUUGUAAGUUAGAGGUGAAAGCCCGGGGCUCAACUCCGGAAUUGCCUUUAAGACUGCAUCGCUAGAAUCCGGGAGAGGUGAGUGGAAUUCCGAGUGUAGAGGUGAAAUUCGUAGAUAUUCGGAAGAACACCAGUGGCGAAGGCGGCUCACUGGACCGGUAUUGGCGCUGAGGCGCGAAAGCGUGGGGAGCAAACAGG